This 167-nucleotide ribosomal RNA is filed under the name Melanostigma atlanticum. RNAcentral's name for it is "partial 12S rRNA". Lineage: Eukaryota; Metazoa; Chordata; Actinopteri; Perciformes; Zoarcidae. The record is from RNAcentral.
CACCGCGGUUAUACGAGAGGCCCAAGUUGAAAGACCCCGGCGUAAAGCGUGGUUAAGUUAAAAUUUUACUAAAGUCGAAUACCCUCACAGCUGUCAUACGCACCCGAGGGUAAGAAGCUCAACCACGAAGGUAGCUUUACUUGUCUGAACCCACGAAAGCUACGGCA